Molecule: long non-coding RNA, 1334 nt
Organism: Helianthus annuus (common sunflower)
Lineage: Eukaryota; Viridiplantae; Streptophyta; Magnoliopsida; Asterales; Asteraceae
Exons: 5
Source: RefSeq, a predicted model, not a curated record
ACGAGUAAAGAAGACAAGAUUUACGAGUAAUUAUUGCUAAGGGCAGUGUGUACAAAGUGGUAACGAAAUGAGGAUUUAUAGGUUGUAAUUAUUACUAUGGGUAUUUUCUAAUGACUCUAUAUCCUUAGUAAGUUCAUACCCGGAUUUAUCUAUUAUUCGUAUUUCAAAGUCAGCCAGAGCAUCCUAAAAAUUACAUAAGCUGGCGUGUUCUCUUAGGUUUGAAGAAAAAACUCAAGAAUCGCUUAAUAAAUAAGACACUGACGAUUAUGAUGCUGACAAUUAUGUUUUUUACAGUUAUUUAAAUAUUAUAUUAUAUUUUAGGACUACUGUAAUAUUUUUUAAUUUUUGUUCGUUUUUACCUGUAAGUAAUCUCUUAGAACGUAUGGUCUAUUUGGUGUGCAGUGUGUGUGUUGCAAGAUGACUUCAUGGCUAUGCUUUUGUUGAUUGUAAUGACAAGCGAGAUGCUCAGGAUGCCAUCCACGAACUUGAUGUUUAGGAGUUCUCAUAUAUUAAUGACUAAACCAAAUAAGAAUGGGGGAGAGUAGAAAUGUCCAAUAACUUUAGAGGAUCAUGUGGUGGUGGCGGCGAUGGCAGUGUAGGGCAUGGUGGAGGUCGUGGUCGCUCUAGAGUUACUGAAAGUUUAAACCGAGGUCAUCAGAUGUAUGGAAAAAUGAUUUCGAUGAUGUACCUGGGAGAAAUUCUUCGUAGAGUUAUGUAGGGUGCCUGAAGAGGCUGUCCUUUUUCUUGACACGCUGCCCCCGAAACUAAAAAGUCUGUUUGUGUUGAGGUCAUCAUAUGUCCGAGUCUCGCUUACUACAUCAAGUUAUUCCUGGCUGGUGGAUGACGGUCUAAAGUUAUUUGAAUCAAUCGAGGCAGAGUAUAACAUCGUUCCGUCACUUGAGCAUUACUGUUGCGUUUUAGAUAUGUUAGGGAGAGAUGGUAGUGUGUCAGAAGCUUACGAUUUUGUUGAAAGAUUUGGGGAAAAGGUAAUUAUUUGAAAGUUUAGGGUUUACUUUUGGGCUCUUGCAGAACCCAUGAGAAUUUCGAUUGGCGAAAGUUGUUGCGAGUAAGUUGGUUGAAAUGGGUCUGGUAAAUAAGAAUGCGGGUUAUCAUGCGUUGUUGUCAAAUAUAUAUCCGGGUUCUAAAAAUUGCUAUAAAAUCAUUUGUACAAUAACAUCUCAAUACCUAUAAAAAAUGAAUCAAAACAUAUUUACCUAAGUGAGAAAAAUCAUAUUUUUAUACGUUUAUAUUGAAAAGUUCUUUCAUUACAAAGUUCAUCUCAUUGCCAGUAUAUAUUAUAUGUUUGUGUUAAACCACCCGCGAAGCUCGCGGGA